AAGAGCAUGAAGCAAAUCAGGGUAUGAGUAUGCUUGAAUUAAUUAUUUUGUCUUCCUUCAGAUGUCUGUAUUACUGGUGAAAUGCUUACUGUAAUGUAUUGUAUACUGUUCCAAGGUUUAUGAAGGUAGAUGUUAUUGAAGUAAGGUUUUUCUUUUUCUGAACAAUACAAAGUAAAGGAGGGGUCCUUUAUUUUAUGGAUAAGCUGUAAUUUAAGGUGUUUUCACAUCAUAUUGUCAAGAUUAUCUUUUGUGGAAUACAUAGAAUUAGAUAGUGUUUUGGAAUACUAAAAUUGAAUUAAAUAAUUGUUUUGCAUAAGGUUCCAUGUAUCAUUAGAUUUUGUCUUUUAAGUUUUGGUACGUCUCAUUACAGUGCUAUAUGAGUGCUCUUAAGAAGUUUGAUACUUUUCUUUGGGGCCAGAAUUUUGAGUUACUUAGUAUUUUCCUUUUUGAACCCUUCUUUGCAGGUUGAACUGGAG
This 476-nucleotide unclassified non-coding RNA is filed under the name Hevea brasiliensis (rubber tree). Lineage: Eukaryota; Viridiplantae; Streptophyta; Magnoliopsida; Malpighiales; Euphorbiaceae. The record is from RNAcentral.